RNAcentral lists this ribosomal RNA (495 nucleotides) under uncultured bacterium. RNAcentral describes it as "partial 16S ribosomal RNA". It matches the Rfam family "Bacterial small subunit ribosomal RNA", at positions 29 to 507 of the family's 1533-position model. The record is from RNAcentral.
AUGAACGCUGGCGGCGUGCCUAAUACAUGCAAGUCGAGCGAACAGAUGAGGAGCUUGCUCCUCUGACGUAGCGGCGGACGGGUGAGUAACACGUGGAUAACCUACCUAUAAGACUGGGAUAACUUCGGGAAACCGGAGCUAAUACCGGAUAAUAUAUUGAACCGCAUGGUUCAAUAGUGAAAGACGGUUUUGCUGUCACUUAUAGAUGGAUCCGCGCCGCAUUAGCUAGUUGGUAAGGUAACGGCUUACCAAGGCAACGAUGCGUAGCCGACCUGAGAGGGUGAUCGGCCACACUGGAACUGAGACACGGUCCAGACUCCUACGGGAGGCAGCAGUAGGGAAUCUUCCGCAAUGGGCGAAAGCCUGACGGAGCAACGCCGCGUGAGUGAUGAAGGUCUUCGGAUCGUAAAACUCUGUUAUUAGGGAAGAACAAAUGUGUAAGUAACUAUGCACGUCUUGACGGUACCUAAUCAGAAAGCCACGGCUAACUACGUG